This 1852-nucleotide long non-coding RNA is filed under the name Homo sapiens (human). RNAcentral's name for it is "PCBP1 antisense RNA 1". Lineage: Eukaryota; Metazoa; Chordata; Mammalia; Primates; Hominidae. The record is from RNAcentral.
GGGCACGUGGGGCCCUUUCGUCCCCGGCGUCCGGGCGCCCUGCAUGGAUCCCCCACCCCAGCUCCUGCUCCCCGGCGGCGGCCGGUGGGCAGAAAGACCGAAACCCACUCACGGCCGCCUGCCGAAUCGCGGCUCUGCUGUUUGUGGGGCGUGCUAGAAACGUGGUCCUAAAAAGAAUGGCGUCCAUUUACAUAAUGCUUUGUUUGCGUUUCGCAAGUUUCUUUCGGUUAAAGCCACAGAAACCCCACCUCCUGCCCUUGUGUCGUUUCCACCGCGGCACCCUUUUCCGACAUUAGAAACAAUAGUGUACGCCUGUGGAGGCCUCGUUUGUUCAGGGGCUGCCGGCCAGGGCUUCAGGACGUUUCUGCGGCUUUCCCCGCGCGGCCUGGGCUCCCGCGGCUGCUUUUCGGGCCCAUGGGCGCAGCCACUGCGCCAGGCUCAAGGGGGGCGGCCCCGUCAGGGCCCGCCAUCUUGGAAGGCCUUUUUUGCCGGUUCUUCCCGCUGAGGAAGUGUCGCUCAAGACGCUGGCCUAUGAGUUGUGAUUUCUGCCUUUUCCCCUUCCUCCUUGGGCUAAGCCAGACCAGAAAGGGCCCCGUGCGCAACGUGCUUCACAAUCUCUCAGGGAAAGCGGCUAACGUGGCGCUACUCCGCCUCCCCUGUUCCUUACCCUUGGGGCGGCCGCCAUGUUUCCUGAACACAAAAUGGCGACACGUGGUUAGCAUUCGUCGCCAACGAGAAAUUGGGGUCGGCCCGAAAGCUCUAGAAUGCACCCCUCUUCCUCCCCGGGGCCUUCCACCUCCGCGAGUUUUAUGACUUAAAAAAGCCCACAGGCUGGUCUGAAGGUCGGAGGCCUAAUUUUAACGCGUUUUCCUCCCUUUAAUUUGAAACGGGAACGCGAAUGACUGUAAAAUGUGGGCACAAUAUUUAAUCUCUCGCCUUUUUAAAGCUUAAUAGUGGAUAAUAGGGGGGCAGUAUCAAGGGAUAAUUUGGGUCCCCACAGUACCAAAGCAUUUAGAAACCUCUGUUUAAUUUAAGGAAUGAGAUAAGUUACUGCUUUUCUAGACUUCCUAGCAUGGGCUGUUGUGCUGGAGAGAACGAGAGCUACGAAGAGACUACAGUGCCUCUGACUUUUUCAUAGGACAGUUGGCCGGUGAAUCUUAUUAAUAGUUUACCACAAUUAAGUGUUCAUUUUUAGUCUAGAAGGGACAGGCGUUUAUUGUGCAUUGGCCAGUGCCAGCACAUCCGAUGCAAGGCAGUUCACCGUAUUCUAUCUUUAAUUUUUACCAUGGUCCUCUGAGGUAGGUGUUCUUAUCUCUCUCUCUCUCUCUCUCUUUUAAACAGAGGAAGACAAACAUAAAGAUGAAGUGCUUAAUUCAAGGUCACACAAUGUCGGGGAUGGACCUCCAGAUUUCCUUACUGACCUGCAUUAUCUUGUGGAUACCUGAGUGAAUUCCACACCACCCAUUUUAUAGAUGAAACCACUGAGACAUGGAGCAAUUGACUGAGUAGUCACUGCCCCACCCCUGCCUGGAGCCUCACACAUGACUCGCCUCCUCUCAGUGACCACAGGUGAGACGUGGUCUUGUAACACAGUGGUUAAGAAUGUGACUUUGGAGCCAGCCUGCUAGGGGCUGAAUUCUGACUCAGCCAUUUACUAACUGUGUGACCUUAGUCUGUCUAGUGACUGGUGUUGUCAUAAGAAGAGAGGGACACAGAGGGAAGAUGGCCACAUGAAGAUGGAGGCAGAGAUUGCAGUUAUGCUGCUGCAAACUAAGGAAUGGCUCUGGCCCUCCAAGGAUUGCUGAUAACCACCAGAAACUAGAAGAGACAAGGAAGGAUUCUUCCCUAGAGC